UAUAUACGUUUUUGGAAAUAUGUUUUUCAUUCCCCAGUAUAAUGAAUGGUAUAAGCAGACAACAAUGUCCAGUCGCAGUUAAAAUUUUUUGAACAGUUGGAACAUUUGGAGAAGCAAAGAAAAGAUGAACAAGAGAGAGAAAUUUUAUCAAAGCCUGCCUAGAGUCGCUUAAGGCAAGAAGACCCAGAGCAAGCAAGACUGAAACAAAAAGCAAAGGAGGUAAGCAGAGCUGGAGAUCAUUACAUUUGACAUUUCAAGGCUUGAACCUAUUAAUUUUUUAUGCCUCGCUACUUGUAUAUCAUUAAUAAAAAUCUGACUAAAAA
Molecule: long non-coding RNA, 323 nt
Filed under: Phascolarctos cinereus (koala)
Lineage: Eukaryota; Metazoa; Chordata; Mammalia; Diprotodontia; Phascolarctidae
Description: lncRNA (ENSPCIG00000023614.2)
Source: RNAcentral